GCAGUCGUGGGUGAGUGGUUAAGGCGAUGGACCAGAAAUCCGUUGGGGUCUCCCCGCACAGGUUCGAAUCCUGUCGACUGCG
RNAcentral lists this transfer RNA (82 nucleotides) under Ixodes scapularis (black-legged tick). It matches the Rfam family "tRNA". From Rfam's summary of the family: Transfer RNA (tRNA) molecules are approximately 80 nucleotides in length. Lineage: Eukaryota; Metazoa; Arthropoda; Arachnida; Ixodida; Ixodidae. The record is from Rfam by way of RNAcentral.